CCUACGGGAGGCAGCAGUGGGGGAUAUUGCACAAUGGGGGGAACCCUGAUGCAGCGACGCCGCGUGGGUGAAGGAGUAUUUCGGUAUGUAAAGCCCUAUCGGCAGGGAAGAAGCAAGACGGUACCUGACUAAGAAGCCCCGGCUAACUACGUUCCAGCAGCCGCGGUAAUACGUAGGGGGCGAGCGUUAUCCGGAUUCACUGGGUGUAAAGGGAGCGUAGACGGCCAUGCAAGCCAGGGGUGAAAGCCCGGGGCCCAACCCCGGGACUGCCCUUGGAACUGCAUGGCUGGAGUGCGGGAGGGGCAGGCGGAAUUCCUGGUGUAGCGGUGAAAUGCGUAGAUAUCAGGACGAACACCGGCGGCGAAGGCGGCCUGCUGGACCGCGACUGACGUUGAGGCUCGAAAGCGUGGGGAGCGAACAGGAUUAGAUACCCCUGUAGUC
Molecule: ribosomal RNA, 441 nt
Filed under: uncultured bacterium
Lineage: Bacteria
Description: partial 16S ribosomal RNA
Rfam family: Bacterial small subunit ribosomal RNA
Source: RNAcentral